Molecule: ribosomal RNA, 253 nt
Filed under: uncultured bacterium
Lineage: Bacteria
Description: partial 16S ribosomal RNA
Rfam family: Bacterial small subunit ribosomal RNA
Source: RNAcentral
GACAGAGGGGGCAAGCGUUGUUCGGAAUUACUGGGCGUAAAGCGCACGUAGGCGGCUUUGCAAGUUAGAGGUGAAAGCCCAGGGCUCAACCCUGGAAUUGCCUUUAAAACUGCAUCGCUAGAAUUGUGGAGAGGUAAGUGGAAUUCCGAGUGUAGAGGUGAAAUUCGUAGAUAUUCGGAAGAACACCAGUGGCGAAGGCGACUUACUGGACACAUAUUGACGCUGAGGUGCGAAAGCGUGGGGAGCAAACAGG